UAUGGCUACAACCUGGAUACCUGACACAUGGAAGAUAUUGAAUUUUAGCCAUUUUAAAAAAAUGAAAUCCUCAUAUUUUCCCAAGCAGGAAGCAACUGCGACCACCUGAAACCUGAGCUUCAGUUCCUGCCUUUGUUUCAAGGUGCUUGUAGACAAUAAACAUGACUGAAUAUUUGCCACUGAACCGACCCUGAAUAACACCUGAUAUGAACAAGAACAGCAAUGAUGACACUGAUAACCCCAGGUGACACUUGUGACCCUGACUGCUGAUUUUGAAAAUGAUGCUAACCUGGAUAAAGGAAUUUCUAAUCCUGGCAAUUGCAAACAAGAAGACAGAUGGACUGCCUGGCAUACUGGCUGAACAACAUACAUGCUAUGACAUAACAACUCUGGUCAGAGAAUUAAGUGUAAACAUAUCUAUCAAUGGUUUAGAACAUACGGAUGUCUCUUUAGCCAGUGUGCAUGUAAUGUAUGGAAGUAAAGUUGCUGAACUGGUUAAGCAAAGUUCAUUCCACCCACAAUUUCAGCAAAGGCCUAAUUUAUUAAACAGCGCAGUCAUGACAGCACAACUGCAUAGACAAAAAAUAGAACACAUUAUAUUGGACUUCUUACAAUUUGCUAAAUUUGACUGGGAUGCCUCGAUGUACCAAGAUAAAAGUAUCAAGAUCUUAAUGACAAUUCCCAGAUGGAAUAAUCCUCCAGUAAAGGUAUACUAUGUGAAUAGCAUGGGAACCUUUGUAAAUAAUAUAUAUGUGUGCAACACUACCCUAGUAUUUCCCUGGAGUCAGAAGAAAUGCGGUUAGAAGUUAAUCAAAAUUACUGUUAAAAAAACAAUGGAUGGUGACUCUGCGAGUGCUCUGCCUCCAUCACUACCAAUAGUACCAAAAGGGGCUAGGUCCGAUUGAUACAAAAAGAAUUGAUGAAUGAGGCAGCAUGAGUAAAAAAUACAAUGUGUGGUUUGGAGUAUUCUCAUUUUAUGAAGAAGGAAGAAACCUGUCAAGGAAACUGGGAAGGAUUCUGUCUGAACAUAACAAGUAAAAUUCAAAUUGGGACUCAUGCUUUCUUGCCAACAAGCAAUGCAAAGACUGUAACUGAGCUUAUCAUUCCUUUUGACAAGAUAAGGGAAUUGAUGAUUGAUUUAUUUCCCCCCAUCACAGAUUUAUACCUAGAUGUACAGAGCGCCUAUAGAUGUGCUCAUUCACGUUCUAAUUAGAACAUGUUGGAGCAGACUCAAUUAACCUGACCCAGCUCAACGUGCUGUGCUUCUGGGCACAUGUUUAUAUUUCAUUAUGUCUCAAAUCUCAAAUGUAAAUCCAGUUGUUCUGCUUUCAGGCUGCACAGGCAAAUAUCCUAAUCAUCAUUCUGAAAGCCACAAAAUCACAAUGCUGAGGAGUUUCAAAUAGGUAGACUGGAUAUGAAGAAGUUAUGGAUUGUUACUUUAAAACAACUCUCUGUGUUUAUCAUUUGUA
Molecule: long non-coding RNA, 1469 nt
Organism: Alligator mississippiensis (American alligator)
Lineage: Eukaryota; Metazoa; Chordata; Crocodylia; Alligatoridae
Exons: 3
Source: RefSeq, a predicted model, not a curated record